This 253-nucleotide ribosomal RNA is filed under the name uncultured bacterium. RNAcentral's name for it is "partial 16S ribosomal RNA". It matches the Rfam family "Archaeal small subunit ribosomal RNA", at positions 474 to 727 of the family's 1478-position model. The record is from RNAcentral.
UACCAGCACCCCGAGUGGUCGGGACGUUUAUUGGGCCUAAAGCAUCCGUAGCCGGUUCUACAAGUCUUCCGUUAAAUCCACCUGCUUAACAGAUGGGCUGCGGAAGAUACUAUGGAGCUAGGAGGCGGGAGAGGCAAGCGGUACUCGAUGGGUAGGGGUAAAAUCCGUUGAUCCAUUGAAGGCCACCAGUGGCGAAGGCGGCUUGCCAGAACGCGCUCGACGGUGAGGGAUGAAAGCUGGGGGAGCAAACCGG